UACGUAGGGGGCAAGCGUUGUCCGGAUUUAUUGGGCGUAAAGAGCUCGUAGGCGGCUUGUCGCGUCGACUGUGAAAACCCGCGGCUCAACCGCGGGCCUGCAGCCGAUACGGGCAGGCUAGAGUCCGGAAGAGGAGAAUGGAAUUCCUGGUGUAGCGGUGAAAUGCGCAGAUAUCAGGAAGAACACCUAUGGCGAAGGCAGCUCUCUGGGACGGUACUGACGCUGAGACGCGAAAGCGUGGGGAGCGAACAGG
RNAcentral lists this ribosomal RNA (253 nucleotides) under uncultured bacterium. RNAcentral's name for it is "partial 16S ribosomal RNA". It matches the Rfam family "Bacterial small subunit ribosomal RNA", at positions 524 to 776 of the family's 1533-position model. The record is from RNAcentral.